CGGUGCCAGCAGGCACUGAGACACUGCAGCUGCAGCUUGCUGUCCUUCCCUGGCCAGGAUCUUUGUGCCUCUCCCAAGGACAUCCCCUCCCACCACAAAAUGGGAGAAAGCAACGGCUCCUGCAGAGGAGAACUGGGUGGUCACUGACAUUCCCUGGAGCCCCUCACACGUGGUGGCCUCUGAGCUUCUGCAGGAAGGCCAAGAACAGUGUAUUGAUCUGAUCAGAUUUUCAGCCUCGGUGCAACUACCUGCUAUUUUCAUCCCCAAGACUUUGGAGAAGACAGGACAUCUGCACCAUGUCAGGCUGCCCAGAGCCCUGCCUAGAGGCUGCAAGAUACUCCCUGUUCCCAGUGCCCUGGAUUGAACCACA
Long non-coding RNA from Lepidothrix coronata (blue-crowned manakin), 370 nucleotides. RefSeq lists it as uncharacterized. The transcript has 3 exons. Lineage: Eukaryota; Metazoa; Chordata; Aves; Passeriformes; Pipridae. The record is from RefSeq and is a predicted model, not a curated record.